Molecule: long non-coding RNA, 2070 nt
Filed under: Panax ginseng (ginseng)
Lineage: Eukaryota; Viridiplantae; Streptophyta; Magnoliopsida; Apiales; Araliaceae
Description: long non-coding RNA (PGIN_LNC006000)
Source: RNAcentral
GAAAUCUUUGCUAACCUCGAAAUUUCGUUUACACACACACACACACACACACACACACACACACACACAUAUAUAUAUAUAUAGUGAAGAGGGAAAAUAUACAACCAUUCUUUGCUCAAUAGAAAAACCAAUAAAAUUUCUUAGAGCCGCAGCUUAUUGGCAAAAAUGGCACCAAAAGAUAUUAUAAGUCUUAUUAUGAUCUCUGUCUUCUGUUUGGUUUUGUUUCUGCUAGUCUCUCCUGGAACGGCUGGAAGAAAUUUUGACGGCAUACCUAGUUCUGGAGGUGAGUAAUAGUUAAUAUAAUUUAUAUUUUAUUUUCAUGAAUAUUGAAAACAGGUCUGUCCGUCAAGUUGUCAUUUAAUUUUUCAAAGUAGCUGCUCGAUUAUUAAAGUAAAUACUUCCCUCUUUAUGGUUGUCAUUUAAUUUACUUUUUGUUGAUUUUUUUCCCAAUUUUCAUGUUACGGUUUUGCUAGUCAUGUGAGUCAUGCGAUUGUUUAAUGACGAUAGUCAUGCGUCUGUUAAUGAGUGUAUCGUUGUUAUUUGAUGAAGUAAAAUACCUAGUUCUCAUGACUAAAAUGUGACUGCGUGAAAUGAGUAUUUUAUAUAGUCAAAUAACAAAUAUUCUCAUUAAACCAACGCAUAAUUAGCACGUGCUAUGAAAUUGAGAAAAAAUUGAUCAAAGGAAAAUAAUUGACACCAAGUGACAACUGUAAGGAAACAAGUGUUCAAUUUGAUAAUUGAGGGGUUAAUUGAAAAAUAAUUGACAAUCACUACUAAAAAAAAUGGUUAUUUGUGAUGGCCAAAAUUCAUCACAAAAACUAGAAAAAUCAUCACAAAAGGUUUACGUGAUGACUUUAAGCAUCAUAAUGGAUGUCUUGUAUACACCCAUCAUGAAAGAGUUUAAGUGAUGGUUUUGGCAAUUACGCAAACGCUUAGUGCUUUUGUGAUGAUUUAAUACAAUCACAUUAACACGUAAUCUAUUAUGAUUGUAAAAGUCAUCACAAAAAAAACACGAUUUUAGGGAUCAAAGGUAAGAACAUGAAUUUCUAUUUACGCACAAUUUAUUUCACUAUAUUAAUUGUAUCAAAUGAUACAUGUAGGAUUCGAACCAUCUCGUAAUUUGCAAACUAAAUAACGAGUAUUACCACUACACCAAAGUCCAGAUCAUGAUUAUAAUUUUAAAACAAAAUAUUAAAGGAAAUAUAUGUGAGUUGACAUACUAAACAAGAUUACUUCUACAUAAGAUUUGGUGAUUGUGAUGGCAGUCACAAAUACUCUAUAAUGAUGGUAAAAUUAGUCAUCACUGAGAGCCAUCAUAUAUUUUAUUUUUUUGUGAUAACUUGAAAAUUUUAUCACAAAAUAUCUUCUUUUUGUAAUUGUGAAUAAAAGUCGUCACAAAAAUCUAUAUUUUUUUAAUGAUUGUCAUGACCGUCAUAAAAUAUUGUUUUGAUUAUUUCUUAUAUUAAAAUAUUAAUGAUAGCUUAAAUGCAAUCACGAAAAGAGUAUAUUUAUAAGUGAUGACUUAGUGCGUCACAAAAAAAAAAUUUAUUGUAUGUGAAAAUUUUGGUGAUUGACAUGGUCAUCACAAUUAUAAUACAUUGAUGACAAAAUUAAUCAUCACUAAGAACCAUCAUAUAUACUUUUAUUUUAUAAUUGCUUAAAAAGUCCAACACAAAUUACUAUCUUUUAUAAUUGUUUUUAAAAAUUGUCACAAAGUUGUGUCACAUAUUCUUGUUUUUCUAAUAGUAAAUACAUGUGUACACGGAAGCAACUCAGAUCAUGGCCCUGGCCCUCUCGGUGCUGAUUGUAAUUCUGAGCAUGGUUGAUGGAUGGGAAGACUCGAACUGGUUUUGUUUGGUGCUGUUUUGUAGCUCCAUUCAUAUGUUUUGGAUACUUAAGUUACUCUUUUGGUUAUUGUACAUUUGUACUCUCUCCAUUCUGAGAGUAAAUUUGAGACAAUUUCGAUGUUAAAAUUUAAAUGAUUUAUUUAAGUUUUAAAAACAACAUAUUUUUAUUAUAUUUUAGAUAAUAAUUUAUAAAUAUCAUAUUCUGUCAUGCCCUCAACUCCGG